Long non-coding RNA from Lytechinus pictus (painted urchin), 2451 nucleotides. RefSeq lists it as uncharacterized. Lineage: Eukaryota; Metazoa; Echinodermata; Echinoidea; Temnopleuroida; Toxopneustidae. The record is from RefSeq and is a predicted model, not a curated record. The transcript is spliced from 2 exons.
AAUCAUCCACCAUUAUUGAUGUUAACAAAGUGGUUUGGUGGGACAGUGGUAACGGUCUUUCUACCACCGAUACAUGUGUACACUAUUACAAAGCGUUUGGACUCAGGGAGCUUUCUUGCAGUUCGGGCAUAUCCCAAGUACUCUGUGAAGCUCCUGCAAAAUUGUAUAAAGUUUCACGAGACUUUGCACUGAUCUCGAAGCCUGAUGGGUCUCCAUUGAGAGGAUACUGUCUAAAGGGUUAUAUCGCGUUGUCCGCAACAGUGAAGAAUUUAGUGGAGUGUGCUGGAAAAUGUCUUGCCCAUGAUCAGUGUCAAUCCUUCAAUUGGCAACACCAAGAUGGCCGCUGUGAGAUCAAUCGUAAUACGUCAUCCACAGCUGGUGAGACCUCAAUGGAGGCACGUCAUGGAUGCAAUUACUUUGAGCCUGUUCAAUAGGGAGAUCUCAUCCUGAAGAAAAGUUCGUAGUAAAAAUAGCAACAACAACAAAAAAUGAUAAAAAACAAUGGUGACGAUUUGAGGAAAAUCCAUUAAAGAUUAAGAAUUUAAAACUUCAAGUUUUGCCCUAUAUGUUUUGUAAUAUAUAAUGCAUGAAGUUCAAUUAUUUAAUGGUUCGUUGUUUUUUAUUUUUGUUUCUUUUUAGGAAUGGGUGUUAAAAAAUGGGUGUGAUUUUUCUAUCGUUAUAGCUGACGGUAAAGUCAAACCAUCCUUGAUUUUCUGCAAAAAUGACGUGUCAUUAAAUUUUCUACCGUACGAUAUGUCAAACCUGCUCGCAUAUGACGUCACAAAUAAAAUUAUUAAAAUUCUAAUAGCCUCUUUUAUUCUUUGGUGGAUUUUCGUCAAACUUUCGGCAAUAUUUUUUUUACUUUUCUUUAAUUUUACAAUAAACUAUUUUGUCAGUGUAAACUUUCUCUUUUACGACGCUCUCUCAUUCCUGUUCAUGCGCAGUAAUUAAGGCAGAUUUCCCGAAAUCAGAUGAUAAUAUCGCAACAUUUAUUUAUCUAUUUAUUUUUAUUUUGUUUAUAAGAACAUAUUUAUGCAGGUACAAAUAUCAGCGAAAAGCUGUUUUUCAUCAAUGACCUGAUAAAAACAGGAUUACGAUUCAACAAAUAACAUCAAUAUCAUACUGUUAUAAAAUAAAGUUCUGAGUUAUAAUUUUGGCAAUGCUUAGUAACAUAAAUAAACAAAUAUUUUUACAUAAAUGAAUGAACAUAAAAAUGAAUAAAGUGUUAAGGUUAUCACAACGGAAAAAAUUAGAUUUAAACCACAAAUCGUAUUAUUUAUUUACUGAUAUAAACCACUGAAAUGAUCAAGUAAUUGAUUAAAUGGGGGCGCUAUAUAUUAUAAGAAAUAUAAAUUUGAAUGAAAAAACAUGGGUAACAAAAUCUAAAGCUACCUAAUAUUAAAUUCGGGUGAAUAUAAUUUUGGUGUUAAAAAGUAUUUGUGUUGAAUAAUGCUGAAAUUUUGAAAUAAAUCGGGCUACAAUAAGAAAAGUACUGCAAAUCUCAAACAGGCAAUUCGGUGAAGCAGAUCGUGACAUGUAUCAAUGGGACAAAUCUGUUAUUUGUCGUUUACUUAUUUAUCAGCAAAUUGGUGUUCUAUUUUUUUCUUUCACCAUUUCUCCCGCAGGCAUAUACCACAGAUUGCGUAUUGCUAUUUCCUUCAUAAAUGUGAUUCUGUAUAAGUAAAGCUAUUUAAGAAGAAUGACUUUUUAGUAAAAAGUAUUGGAGUUGAUUUGAAUAAAUUCCGAUCAACCAUAACAUAGCACUGAAAAUCUCAUUAAAAUCGCGCGGAUGUAAGAAAAGAAAGUUAUGACAUUUUUAAAUUUCGUUAAUUUCACAAACAGUUUUGUACCACCUGGUCGGUAUGCAAAUGGGGGAACUGAUGAGAUCGCCCACUCACUAUUUCUUUUGUAUUUUAUUAUAAUGAAAUAUGAAAUGUUUUCAUUUUCUCCUCAUUGUCCUAUGAAACGAAGUUUUAUUCCCUCAAACAUGUGGAAUUACCAUUGUUUUAACAUUUUAUAUUUCAGGCAAGUUGGGCCUUAUUGUCAAGUCUGUAAAAAGUGAAAUAUUGUAUAAUUAAAACAAUAAAAAAAAAGAAAAUAGUGAGUUAGGGACAUCUUCGACUCUUUCAUUUGCAUGUCAUUGAGUUGUGCAUAUAACUGUUUUGUGAAAAAUAAGCGAAACUUUAAAAUGUCAUAAGUUUCUUAUUUUACUUAAGAUUUUGGUGAAUUUGUCAGUGUUAUGCUUGUUUGAUCUUUCUCUAUUGAUUCAACGCAAGAUUUUUCUGGGGUGGACUUGACCUGUAAGAUAGGAUACUAUAGUUUAAAUUAGAGAGAGAGAGAUUGAGGGUUUUCAUCCUCCUUUUUUGCCGUUUUUAUCUAUUUUCCUUAAUGAAUGUUGCAUGUUCAUUUAUUAUCAUUAUUUGAUUUGAAAUAAAAUUCUUGAGUCUUGAA